AGAGCGAACGCUGGCGGCAGGCUUAACACAUGCAAGUCGAGCGGGCGUAGCAAUACGUCAGCGGCAGACGGGUGAGUAACGCGUGGGAACGUACCUUUUGGUUCGGAACAACCCAGGGAAACUUGGGCUAAUACCGGAUAAGCCCUUACGGGGAAAGAUUUAUCGCCGAAAGAUCGGCCCGCGUCUGAUUAGCUAGUUGGUGAGGUAAUGGCUCACCAAGGCGACGAUCAGUAGCUGGUCUGAGAGGAUGAUCAGCCACAUUGGGACUGAGACACGGCCCAAACUCCUACGGGAGGCAGCAGUGGGGAAUAUUGGACAAUGGGCGCAAGCCUGAUCCAGCCAUGCCGCGUGAGUGAUGAAGGCCCUAGGGUUGUAAAGCUCUUUUGUGCGGGAAGAUAAGUGGCGGUACCGCAAGAAUAAGCCCCGGCUAACUUCGCGCCAGCAGCCGC
RNAcentral lists this ribosomal RNA (449 nucleotides) under uncultured bacterium. RNAcentral describes it as "SSU rRNA". It matches the Rfam family "Bacterial small subunit ribosomal RNA", at positions 26 to 518 of the family's 1533-position model. The record is from RNAcentral.